Coregonus clupeaformis (lake whitefish) is the source of this 333-nucleotide non-coding RNA. The record is from the annotation of a RefSeq genome assembly. Lineage: Eukaryota; Metazoa; Chordata; Actinopteri; Salmoniformes; Salmonidae.
AUGUUGUUCUGUUCACUUUUACUCAUAUUUGACUUGAUAGGUCUCAGUUCUGAACAGGUAUUAACACCCUACACUGAUGUAGAAGUGGCUUCAGAAAGGGACAGAGUUACUCUCUCUUGUAACUACACCUCUUCUGCUACCACUCUUCUAUGGUAUCGACAAUAUCCAAAAUCAGCACCACAGUUGCUGGUUAUGGAACAUAUGCCUGCAACAACUCCAAGGUUCACUCUAAAUCAUGACAAAAAAGCCAAACGUGUGGAUCUGGAGAUCUCCUCUUCUGAAGUGACAGACUCCGCUCUGUACUACUGCGCCUUGCAGCCCACACUUUUUUAG